This 1473-nucleotide ribosomal RNA is filed under the name Lacticaseibacillus casei. RNAcentral's name for it is "bacterial SSU rRNA". It matches the Rfam family "Bacterial small subunit ribosomal RNA". Lineage: Bacteria; Bacillati; Bacillota; Bacilli; Lactobacillales; Lactobacillaceae. The record is from RNAcentral.
CGCUGGCGGCGUGCCUAAUACAUGCAAGUCGAACGAGUUCUCGUUGAUGAUCGGUGCUUGCACCGAGAUUCAACAUGGAACGAGUGGCGGACGGGUGAGUAACACGUGGGUAACCUGCCCUUAAGUGGGGGAUAACAUUUGGAAACAGAUGCUAAUACCGCAUAGAUCCAAGAACCGCAUGGUUCUUGGCUGAAAGAUGGCGUAAGCUAUCGCUUUUGGAUGGACCCGCGGCGUAUUAGCUAGUUGGUGAGGUAAUGGCUCACCAAGGCGAUGAUACGUAGCCGAACUGAGAGGUUGAUCGGCCACAUUGGGACUGAGACACGGCCCAAACUCCUACGGGAGGCAGCAGUAGGGAAUCUUCCACAAUGGACGCAAGUCUGAUGGAGCAACGCCGCGUGAGUGAAGAAGGCUUUCGGGUCGUAAAACUCUGUUGUUGGAGAAGAAUGGUCGGCAGAGUAACUGUUGUCGGCGUGACGGUAUCCAACCAGAAAGCCACGGCUAACUACGUGCCAGCAGCCGCGGUAAUACGUAGGUGGCAAGCGUUAUCCGGAUUUAUUGGGCGUAAAGCGAGCGCAGGCGGUUUUUUAAGUCUGAUGUGAAAGCCCUCGGCUUAACCGAGGAAGCGCAUCGGAAACUGGGAAACUUGAGUGCAGAAGAGGACAGUGGAACUCCAUGUGUAGCGGUGAAAUGCGUAGAUAUAUGGAAGAACACCAGUGGCGAAGGCGGCUGUCUGGUCUGUAACUGACGCUGAGGCUCGAAAGCAUGGGUAGCGAACAGGAUUAGAUACCCUGGUAGUCCAUGCCGUAAACGAUGAAUGCUAGGUGUUGGAGGGUUUCCGCCCUUCAGUGCCGCAGCUAACGCAUUAAGCAUUCCGCCUGGGGAGUACGACCGCAAGGUUGAAACUCAAAGGAAUUGACGGGGGCCCGCACAAGCGGUGGAGCAUGUGGUUUAAUUCGAAGCAACGCGAAGAACCUUACCAGGUCUUGACAUCUUUUGAUCACCUGAGAGAUCAGGUUUCCCCUUCGGGGGCAAAAUGACAGGUGGUGCAUGGUUGUCGUCAGCUCGUGUCGUGAGAUGUUGGGUUAAGUCCCGCAACGAGCGCAACCCUUAUGACUAGUUGCCAGCAUUUAGUUGGGCACUCUAGUAAGACUGCCGGUGACAAACCGGAGGAAGGUGGGGAUGACGUCAAAUCAUCAUGCCCCUUAUGACCUGGGCUACACACGUGCUACAAUGGAUGGUACAACGAGUUGCGAGACCGCGAGGUCAAGCUAAUCUCUUAAAGCCAUUCUCAGUUCGGACUGUAGGCUGCAACUCGCCUACACGAAGUCGGAAUCGCUAGUAAUCGCGGAUCAGCACGCCGCGGUGAAUACGUUCCCGGGCCUUGUACACACCGCCCGUCACACCAUGAGAGUUUGUAACACCCGAAGCCGGUGGCGUAACCCUUUUAGGGAGCGAGCCGUCUAAGGUGGGACA